UACGGAGGGAGCAAGCGUUACUCGGAAUCAUUGGGCGUAAAGGGCGCGUAGGCGGCCUGCUAAGUCGGACGUGAAAUCCCUCGGCUCAACCCUGGAAUGCCGGUGGAUACUGUCGGGCUCGAAUCCGGAAGAGGUGAGUGGAAUUCCUGGUGUAGCGGUGAAAUGCGCAGAUAUCAGGAGGAACACCAACGGCGAAGGCAGCUCGCUGGGACGGUACUGACGCUAAGGCGCGAAAGCGUGGGGAGCGAACAGG
Molecule: ribosomal RNA, 253 nt
Filed under: uncultured bacterium
Lineage: Bacteria
Description: partial 16S ribosomal RNA
Rfam family: Bacterial small subunit ribosomal RNA
Source: RNAcentral